This 253-nucleotide ribosomal RNA is filed under the name uncultured bacterium. RNAcentral's name for it is "partial 16S ribosomal RNA". It matches the Rfam family "Bacterial small subunit ribosomal RNA", at positions 524 to 776 of the family's 1533-position model. The record is from RNAcentral.
UACGAAGGGGGCUAGCGUUGCUCGGAAUUACUGGGCGUAAAGCGCACGUAGGCGGCUUCUUAAGUCGGUGGUGAAAUCCUGGAGCUCAACUCCAGAACUGCCUUUGAUACUGAGGAUCUUGAGUUCGGGAGAGGUGAGUGGAACUGCGAGUGUAGAGGUGAAAUUCGUAGAUAUUCGCAAGAACACCAGUGGCGAAGGCGGCUCACUGGCCCGGUACUGACGCUGAGGUGCGAAAGCGUGGGGAGCAAACGGG